Molecule: long non-coding RNA, 204 nt
Filed under: Hordeum vulgare
Lineage: Eukaryota; Viridiplantae; Streptophyta; Magnoliopsida; Poales; Poaceae
Description: long non-coding RNA (HVUL_LNC009600)
Source: RNAcentral
CCACAUCUAUAUGUUUUCAAUAUCUAGAACUCCGUAUACAACUGGGAAGAUCCAGUUGCAAGCAUCUACAGCACAUGCACUCACUAAUUGUCCUCUCAAUCUUCCAUUUAAUGCAGAGACAUCUACUCCAAGAUAAGGCCUAUAUCCAGAAAACUGCCAACAUGCUUCGAAAGAAACAAAAAUUCUCCUAAAGCACUCUUUAUG